UGUAUUUUCAUUCCCCCGCGAAGCACCCUGCUCCUUCGCAACCCACGUCUGCUUCCACAACCCAGCACCUCCCGGCGACGCCGUCUCUCGUCAGUGCCACCGAGCGGCGCUCCUCCGUCUGCCCAGCGCCUCCACUGUCCCUCGAGCUCGUUGAACGGAGCAAACAAGAUUUGAAUCAUGCGAACCCUCCUUCCUCGCCACGAACCCACGUCCAUCAGCUUCCUCUUGCCAGUGCCAGCUCACGACUGCGUCUCUCUGUUCAGGGCCAAAUCGCGACGCUCGUACGUCUGCCCAGUGCCACCACUCCCCGCGAGUUGAUUGAACGGACCAAACCAGCGACGGGACUGAGUGCUCUGUUUCGCCAAAUGGUUUGCUAGAAAAUUAGGGUUCGUAACUGCUCUUGUGCGUGCGCAUUGCUAUUAUUGAGGCACAUUUUGUGGUAUUUGGCUCUUCUUGCAAAGUAUCCUGUGUCAACAAAAGCUCUAACAUCUGCACUUUUAACUUUAAUUGGAGAUUUAAUCUGUCAGGAAUGUUAUUUACGAAAGUUAUUGGGUUGGAAGUGCAAAGAAAUUGCUCUUUGGUUCCCCGAAGGCCCUGCUAACUGGGGGAGUAGCCUACACCCUUGGAUCUAUGAGUAAAUGCUUGAUUAAGUUGCUUGAUGCCCAUCGUCCUAUUUUCAUUUGUUGUUAGACUAUUUUGAGAAGCUAGUUAUGAAGUUUUGACCUGGCUGGGUCAUACCUAUUUCCUUAGAACAUUAGACUUGCUGCUUAUCAUUUAAUGUAACGAUAUUUAUUAAAUAUAAAGUUGGAUGUGG
Long non-coding RNA from Juglans regia (Persian walnut), 814 nucleotides. RefSeq lists it as uncharacterized. Lineage: Eukaryota; Viridiplantae; Streptophyta; Magnoliopsida; Fagales; Juglandaceae. The transcript is spliced from 4 exons. The record is from RefSeq and is a predicted model, not a curated record.